Molecule: long non-coding RNA, 2602 nt
Filed under: Coffea arabica (coffee)
Lineage: Eukaryota; Viridiplantae; Streptophyta; Magnoliopsida; Gentianales; Rubiaceae
Description: long non-coding RNA (CARA_LNC002331)
Source: RNAcentral
AAGGCCAGAAAGCUAGAAAAAUCCGGCAAAGGAUUCGAUUUCUCUGCUCAAAAUCCACCUGAAAGGAGAGCAAUUUCCCACUGUGCUACUGGAAGCUUGGAGCAUUUUAUAAAGUUGCUCUCCCUUGGGUUUUUUUCACAAGAAUACCACGAUAGUUCCUCUAGUAGCCGUGGUUGGGUGACGGAUCGCGAUUGUGCACUACACAUCGCGUAUUCCUAGCCGCUGUCUUCUUGUAUGCAGCGUUUACGGAAAAGAGCGAUUGAACGAAGGUGGAGAUUGCCCUAACACAAGCUGUUAUGAGCGAUUCGAUUAGUAAUUCACUAUUCCUUUGUCGGAAUUUCCAAUUAUAUAUCCUCAAUUUGAUUUCUCUUGUGGUCUGUAUAACGAAAACAUAUGUCGAAAACUCCAGUAUCUAUUGGUAGAACUUGGAGGUUGUUAGGGUUUUUGGGAUUGCUACAUUUAUGCUUUUUUUUCAAAUUAUGUUUGACGGAAUUAAAAUUCAUGGUGAAAAUGAUAAUCUCCUUGUCCUUUCAUUUGGCUAGUUCACUAUCCCCGCAAGAAAUACCAAAGUAGUUGGCCUGCUAGUUUGAUUCAAUACCGAGUAGUUUUAGAAUGCCAUGUUGAAUGAGCAAAUUGGAUUCUCCAAAUUUGCAGCUGUUUUGCAUUGGAUAAGGUUUCAUGUAAAUAACUGAUUUAUUCUGACUUCCUAGGUAGAGAUGUCUAUGUCCAAAUAAUGCAUUUCACUUGCCAUGGGUGCUGUAUUCAAGCACGAAACUGACCUAACAAGGGUAGUAAUAGGCCCACUUCGCUCAGUUUUUUAGCUUGCUUAAUUUGACUGAACUUUCCACCUCAUACAAAGUUUUGAUAUCCAUGAGACCACCAAGUGUUUCCUAUAUGCAUAUCUUCUCCAAUGCAUUUAUUGGUUUCCCUUUUGUUCAUUUGUUAUGGACAUGUUUCUCUCACUGUUUUUGUCAUAUUUUUUUAGUGUUGAAACUACAAAGUUAUAAGCUACACAUCAAACGGAAGUGUUCAUGCCCACUGCAAAAAGGAAAAAGGCUUUGAAGGUCACGUGGACAGUUGGUUGUAGCAUAUCUUGUCUUACAAAUGCAUCUCAGUUAAUAAAGUUGAAUGCUAUGCUUGUUCUUUUGAUCAGAAUCCCUAUCCAGCCCUUUAAGUUUUGUCAGUGCCCAUUUUUUGUGCGACUCAAACGACUUUGAAGAAAGCCUAAUAAACUACUUUGAGGUGAAUUUUUAAUUUCCCUGAAGAUACGAAUUUAAAGGCUUGUCUGCUCCCCGAAAAUUUUUCUGUUAAAUCCAUACUUUUCUGUUCAUCCAUAGAUGUCUGAAAAAAAGUACUGGCUGGACUAGGAAGAGAAGUUGUAUAUCCGCACCUAUGUUGAGUGGCAGAAAAAUGGAAAGUGAGAGGCAACUUGGAGCACCUUAGCAAAUCACACUGCAAUGGUAAUGUACUUGACUCAAGCAUGCGGGGUAACUUACACUGGAACUCAAUUCCAGUCCAAGUAUUAUUAAGUGGUCGAUAAGUGGAGAUUGUUCAAACAUCUCCGGGGUGAUUGUGCCAAGCCAGAGACGGGGAUAGGAUGGGAUGAGAAACACAAAUGCUUCUUAGCCGGAGCAGAUCAAUGGGCAUAUUUGUACCAGGUAUGGUAUUCCUUUAUACCAUGAAUCGAUAUUGGCAAACGACUUCUGUUGUCUAUUAUUGGUAGAUGUCAAUGUAUGGUUAUAGUUGAUAGUUUAAAUUUGCGAACUUUUUUUGUGGUUGGAAAUUUGCAAUCCACGUUGGUUUUAAGGUGUGUGUUAUUGUAGCAAUUUAUUUGAUGCACUAACUUCAAUCUUCUGGGGUCGUUAAUAAACCAGUUUGAAAAAUGUUACAAAAUAUGAUCAUUCAAUUACUACUCUCAAAGAUGUUGUGAAAUGAAUGUGCCUUGGAAUUAUCCCAAACAAUGACAGUUCGACCAUGCUUUUAUUACUUCAAUCUUUUUGAUAGGGUGCAUUUUAGUAGAUUAUUUCGUUAAUAUUUCAUAAUUGUUUUGACUAAAUAUUGCACUAUUUGGAGGAUUCUACUUAGGUUUUGUGUUUGGUGUUAAUUGCAGAAAUUGGAGGAAGAAAGGUGCUAAAAAUCAAUAUUUCAGAAGACUUUCUGACAGUUAGACGUGGGCACGCCGAAGUCACGUCCCAGGACAGGAUUGUCGGGAUCGCACACACACGGGAGCAGUUUCCAAAGAAUUACGGACUCCAAGUCCGAGGCUAUGCUGGAAUAGUUACUGCCUUUUUCUAUUAGGUAGUUGAGUACUAUUAGGAAUCAUUUUUCUUUCCUGUUAGGAUUUUGUGAGAUUAGGAAAGUGGAGAAAAAAUCCGGACUAGCGUGAGUUUUCUUUCUCUAGUGGGCUUGGCCGCAAGAGGAAUCAAUUCAUUAACCUUUUUGGUGGCUAGAAACGCAGAGGAGAGAAAAUUGUACUUUUGAUCUUUGACAUUUCUUGCCUUUUGGCAAAAUUUGGAGAAAAUCAACGAAAGCCACAAUUGUUGACUUGUUCUACUUUUUCUUUCUUUGACCGAAAUUGUGAGACAAGAUUUGACAAUUUUUC